CCCAUUUUGUUUUUGUUGUCAUACAACUUAAACAUAAUGGGCUUUGUGGGCCAAAACACUUUUAGGCCCCGAAACCCAAAACCAACUUAAAAGCCCAAUACGAACCUUUCGUAAAAUUAAUUAAGUAAUUAAUUAAUCUUGACCAUUCUCAAUUAAACCAUUUAAUUGUUUAUCCAUCUCAUUUAUAUUUCUUCACUUUCAUCCUUACUCGGUGUACGAUCCAUUAGGUUCCAAUUAGCGAGGCAGUGGGCGAUUGUUACUCUUAACGAUCGAUUGUGAAUUGAAACAACAUUUCAAUUCUCCCUUUGUUGAAGAUUAGUGUUUGCUAAUCUUCAGGGCUUCCACAAACCAUGAGUGACACCUAGUAUCAUGUCAUGGCUACCCAAGCUAAAUAGAAUUGGUUGGAGAACCUAUCCAGUUACAAUUUGAAUGCAAUAUGGUCAUUCUCUAAUACAAUACUUUUAAUCACAUUGUUUGAGUGAUAGUUUGUUUCAUGUCUACUAUCCAAUGUAAUACUUAUCUAUAUGAUUCAAUUGAAUAUGAUUUGGAACAUACUUCCUAAGUCAUAUUCGUAUGCUUUGGCCAAACACUCCCGAAUCAUAUCUUAGAGUAUUCUCCUUCCACUAUGGAAGGUUAGAGAUCCCUUGUUGUGCAUUCAUAUGCCUACUUGACUAGAUAGCUUAACCCCAACAAUGCCGUGGACACUCUCGAUGGAAUGCCUUUGACAUGAUCAAAGAUCAAGGUGAAGGGAAAAUUAUGAGAUUAACACAUGGGAUUUCUAAAUGACUAGCAUGCAUAUACAAUUCAAAAUUUAUAUACAUGAGCAACAGAAGCAAUUUAUCAAAUAAUAUCAAAGCUAUAGUCAUGCAAAUCCCCUUCAAGGUUCAUAGGUUUAUAUAUAAUGCAUCAAAACAUUUUAGUAAAGAACAAAGUGAAAGUUUAGUCUUAUACCUCUUGAUCUAGACUUGAGACCAAGGAUGGACCACCUCCAAGCCCUUUGUUCCUUGAAGUCCUUGAGCCUAGCCUCCCUCCUUGCCUCCUCCACUUUGUUAGUAAGAGUGCUCCAAGGUUCUCCUUAAGUCUCCAAAGGAGAAGACCUCUAAAGAUCCACACCCACUAGUGUAGUGAGAUGGAUGGAGGAAUAACCAAAAGGGUGAAAGAUUGUUAGUAAAUUCACCCUCUAGGUGGCCGGCCUUUGUGGUUUUAGAGAGCUAUUUUCUUUUGCCUCUUUGUUGUUCAAAAACACACAAAAACCCUAAUGAACUUUGUGCUAUAAAGUUCCUUAUAUAGACAAAAAGAAACCUAGUCAACAACUUGACUAAAUAUCUCUCCCAAACCCUUUAAGUGGCCGGCCCUUUAGUGUUUGGUUUGGGCUUUGGGCUUUUAUUAUUUCAAGUCAUCCUAUGCUUGAAUAAAAGCCCAAUGGGUUUAGGCCCAAUGGGCCCAAUUAAACCCGAACGUUUCUUUAAGCCCAAAACGAUCUUUUAUCGCUUUUAUGAUUUCUUUAGACUUUCUAUAUUAAUCACAACACUUAAUUAAUCCAAUUAAUUAUUUCCAUCAUCCAUAAAUUACUCACUACAAGAGUGUAUCGGUGUACAAUCAUUUUAGGUUCUAAUUAGCAAGGCAGUGAGGUGAUUGACAUCAAUCCAAUUGAUUAUAUUUAAUCCAAUCACUUAGUGAAUUAAAACUUCAUUUUAAUUCACCUUUCUUCUUUGAUGACUACAUUUAAUCAUCUAGAAGAACUCAUAAGCUAUGAGUGACAUCUAACCAUAUGUCAUAGCUACCCAAGCUAAUGUAGAAGUUGUUCGGAGAACCUAUUCAGUUGGAAUUACAAUGUAAUUCGAUCCUUCUCUAAAACAAUACUCUCAAUCACAUUACUAGGGUAUGGAUAUAUUAUGUCAAACCCCUAAUGUGAUUAUUCCUUCUUAUAUGAUUCUAUUGAGUCGUAUAGGAACGCUUUCCUUUAUUAUGCUCGAUACUUCGGCCGAAGAUUCCCGAAUCAUAUCUUAGAGUAUUCUUCCUCUCUAAUCGAGGAUUAGAGAUUCCUUGUUGCGCAUUCACUUGCCUUCAUGACUAAGUGGCUUAACCCCAAUCAUGCCGUGGACAUCCGCGAAUGGGGUGACUUUGACAUAAUCAAAGAUUAAGUACUUACCCACAAGACAACGACGAUGCCUCAGGUCAAAUGACUACUUACAUUAUUCCAACCAUUAGAGUUACUUGCUUGACAUGUGAGUAGACCUCCAUGCAAGUACUCUCGUUUGAUUGUGUUCAGUGAACUCAUUCUCUUAAUGAGCACCUACAUACUUGUCUUAGUGUCACAACACGAAUGGGAUGAGACUUUCCAUCCUUCCAUUUGAAGCGGACACAGUAUGUACCGGUCUAAGCAUUGUCAGUUUCCCUCCGAUAAUCCAAUGACUAGGAACCUUUUGGACAUAAUGGUUAUGUGAAUAAGGUCUCUGUAGUCUAACAUCAUUAGAUUACUUCUUCAAUCGAUCCAUUAUCCAUGGAUACACUAUUUAGGACAUAUAUCGUUUAUUGAGAUAGUCCUAAUUCGUGUCUUUGCCAUUUGAUAUAUAAGAGUCAUCCAUACAUCGAUUCAUUUGUCCUGAAAGGUUUCUUCCAAAGAUUGACUUUCAGGGCAUAUUUCCAACACAAGGACCUAACCAUUAGACAUCUAUGAUGCCUGAAGUCAAAGGACUACUUUGCAUAUUGCAACUUAUGAGUUCUUACAUGACAUGUAUGUUCGAACUCUCUUUUGAUCAUUGUUCAGUGUACUCGAUUACUCUUUCAAGCACCUAUGUGUUUGUCUUAGUGUCCAACACUAAAUGACUUGAGACUAGUCAUACUCACGCUUGAGUUGACAUAACACAUACUAACCUUAGCGGAUUGUCAAUGCCCAAUUAGCAAUCCUAUGGCUAGGAACGUUUUAGGAAUGAACAUAAGAGAAAGGUCUCGUUAAUCUAACUUACUUCAAUCACUUCUCUCUUAGAUCAAAUACAUUCCUUGGAUUCCCUUAUUGCUUAAACACAUGAUACAAUAAAUUGUGAUUAACAAUAAGCUUUGCCCUUCAUUAAACAUAUAAUAGUUUAAUACAUUAAGUAUUCCAAAAGCUAUUACAUCAAAUGAGUGGCUUUGUGGGCAUACUUCCAACAAUUCCCUGUCCCUCCAUCAUUUCAGAAUUCAUGCAUCAUUACAUUGAAUCAUUGCACUCAAUUGCUACACUAUUCCUUGUUCCCUCCAUCAUUUCAGAUUUUAUGCAUCAUUACAUUAAAUCAUUGCACUCAAUUGCUACACCAUUCCUUGUCCCCUCCAUCAUUUCAUAUUUCAUGCAUCAUUGCACUCAAUUGCUACACCACUCCAUAUUCCCCUCCAUUGCCAUGCACUUCCUCUAUAAAAGGAAGUAUGUGUAACAUAAAUUUAGUUCAUACUUAGUUAGA
RNAcentral lists this long non-coding RNA (3437 nucleotides) under Malus domestica (apple). RNAcentral describes it as "long non-coding RNA (MDOM_LNC021249)". The record is from RNAcentral. Lineage: Eukaryota; Viridiplantae; Streptophyta; Magnoliopsida; Rosales; Rosaceae.